CUGAGAGCUGGUUAGCUGUUAUAAAACAACGUCAAGCACCUUACAAAGAGACUGAUCUUUCACACAGUGAUUUCCCUAAAAAACACAUUCUGCUUUGGACUGUUAUCUGUGUUUUUUUGGUGGCUCUGUUGGUAAUGGCCCUGAUUCUACAGAAGAAGCACAAAGUCCUGCAAGACACGGACCUACAUCGAGCAACAUAUGCUGUCGUCAGAAAACAAAGGAAGCAGAAUGAUGGAGACAAUUCAUAUGAACCAAAUGAUGUCCUGUAUGCCACUGUUAAAAGACACUGGGGGAAAAAAGAACCAAAAGUGUCCAGAGCAGACAUUAAUCCAUGCUUUGAAGAAGAGACUGUCAUCUAUUCUUCUGUAAAGUGAGCCUCAAACAUAGUGUAUUUGUUGGACUUUUAUAAAACCAUGGCAUGUGGUUAGCUAAUAUGU
Long non-coding RNA from Oreochromis aureus, 437 nucleotides. RefSeq lists it as uncharacterized. The transcript is spliced from 5 exons. The record is from RefSeq and is a predicted model, not a curated record. NCBI's taxonomy places the organism in Eukaryota, Metazoa, Chordata, Actinopteri, Cichliformes, Cichlidae.